RNAcentral lists this small RNA (28 nucleotides) under Bombyx mori (domestic silkworm). RNAcentral describes it as "ovarian small RNA-35049". The record is from RNAcentral. Lineage: Eukaryota; Metazoa; Arthropoda; Insecta; Lepidoptera; Bombycidae.
UGGGUCUAAAUGAAAUCACUAGUUCUUG